This 1240-nucleotide ribosomal RNA is filed under the name metagenome. Its description in RNAcentral is "SSU rRNA". It matches the Rfam family "Eukaryotic small subunit ribosomal RNA", at positions 528 to 1790 of the family's 1831-position model. The record is from RNAcentral.
AAUCCUUUAACGAGGAUCUAUUGGAGGGCAAGUCUGGUGCCAGCAGCCGCGGUAAUUCCAGCUCCAAUAGCGUAUAUUAAUGUUGUUGCGGUUAAAAAGCUCGUAGUUGGAUCUCGGUUUCGGGCGAGCGGUGCGCCUUGCGGCGUCUACUGUUUGCCCGGACGAUUUUGCUGGUUCGUUCCUGGUUCUCUUAACCGAGUGCCAGGAGUGGCCAGCACGUUUACUUUGAAAAAAUUGGAGUGCUCAAAGCAGGCGCUACAGCCUGAACAUUAGUGCAUGGAAUAAUGGAAUAGGACCUCGGUUCUAUUUCGUUGGCUUUCGGAGUCGAGGUAAUGAUUAAUAGGGACAGACGGGGGCAUUCGUACUGCGACGUUAGAGGUGAAAUUCUUGGAUCGUCGCAAGACGAACUACUGCGAAAGCAUUUGCCAAGAAUGUUUUCAUUAAUCAAGAACGAAAGUUAGAGGUUCGAAGGCGAUCAGAUACCGCCCUAGUUCUAACCAUAAACGAUGUCGACUGGCGAUCCGCUAUCGUUAACUGAAAGACUUAGCGGGCAGCCUCCGGGAAACCAAAGUGUUUGGAUUCUGGGGGGAGUAUGGCUGCAAAAUUGAAACUUAAAAGAAUUGACGGAAGGGCACCACCAGGAGUGGAGCCUGCGGCUUAAUUUGACCCAACACGGGAAAUCUCACCAGGCCCGGACACCGGUAGGAUUGACAGAUUGAGAGCUCUUUCUUGAUUCGGUGGGUGGUGGUGCAUGGCCGUUCUUAGUUGGUGGAGCGAUUUGUCUGGUUAAUUCCGAUAACGAACGAGACUCUGGCCUACUAACUAGACGUUAGAUCCCUUCGUGGGUCUAUCGCAGCUUCUUAGAGGGACGGGCGGCGUUUAGCCGCACGAGAUUGGGCAAUAACAGGUCUGUGAUGCCCUUAGACGUUCUGGGCUGCACGCGCGCUACACUGAAGGAAUCAGCGUGUGUUCCCUGCCCGAAAGGGUUGGGAAACCCGUUGAACCUCCUUCGUGAUGGGGAUUGGGGAUUGCAAUUAUUCCCCAUGAACGAGGAAUUCCCAGUAGGCGCGAGUCAUAAGCUCGCGUCGAUUACGUCCCUGCCCUUUGUACACACCGCCCGUCGCUACUACCGAUCGAGUGAUUUAGUGAGGCCUUCGGACUGGUCUUCAGUAUGGCUUUCGGGUCGUGUUGGAGUAUCGGAAAGAUGACCAAACUUGAUUACUUAGAGGAAGUAAAAGUC